AUACGGAAGGUCCGGGCGUUAUCCGGAUUUAUUGGGUUUAAAGGGAGCGCAGGCGGAGAUGCAAGCGUGACGUCAAAUUUCGGGGCUCAACCCCGUCUCGCGUCGCGAACUGCGUCCCUUGGUUGCGGGAAGGGGAGGCGGAACUCGUGGGGUAGGGGGGAAAUGCAUAGAUAUCACGAAGAACUCCGAUCGCGAAGGCAGCCUUCCGGCCCGUCAACGACGCUCAUGCUCGAAGGUGCGGGUAUCAAACAGGAUUAGAUACCCUGGUAGUCCGCACAGUAAACGAUGGACACCCGCGGUUUGGCCUAUAUGGCUGAGCCGCCAAGCGAAAGCGUUAAGUGUCCCACCUGGGGAGUACGCCGGCAACGGUGAAACUCAAAUGAAUUGACGGGG
Molecule: ribosomal RNA, 393 nt
Filed under: uncultured bacterium
Lineage: Bacteria
Description: partial 16S ribosomal RNA
Rfam family: Bacterial small subunit ribosomal RNA
Source: RNAcentral